Molecule: ribosomal RNA, 466 nt
Filed under: uncultured bacterium
Lineage: Bacteria
Description: partial 16S ribosomal RNA
Rfam family: Bacterial small subunit ribosomal RNA
Source: RNAcentral
GAUGAACGCUGGCGGCGUGCUUAACACAUGCAAGUCGAACGGAAAGGCCCAAGCUUGCUUGGGUACUCGAGUGGCGAACGGGUGAGUAACACGUGGGUGAUCUGCCCUGCACUUCGGGAUAAGCCUGGGAAACUGGGUCUAAUACCGGAUAGGACCACAUUUUGGAUGGUGUGGUGGAAAGGUUUUCGGUGUGGGAUGAGCUCGCGGCCUAUCAGCUUGUUGGUGGGGUAAUGGCCUACCAAGGCGUCGACGGGUAGCCGGCCUGAGAGGGUGUACGGCCACAUUGGGACUGAGAUACGGCCCAGACUCCUACGGGAGGCAGCAGUGGGGAAUAUUGCACAAUGGGCGCAAGCCUGAUGCAGCGACGCCGCGUGGGGGAUGACGGCCUUCGGGUUGUAAACUCCUUUCGCUAGGGACGAAGCGUUUUUGUGACGGUACCUGGAGAAGAAGCACCGGCUAACUACGU